This 253-nucleotide ribosomal RNA is filed under the name uncultured microorganism. Its description in RNAcentral is "partial 16S ribosomal RNA". It matches the Rfam family "Bacterial small subunit ribosomal RNA", at positions 524 to 776 of the family's 1533-position model. The record is from RNAcentral.
UACGUAGGGUGCGAGCGUUAAUCGGAUUUACUGGGCGUAAAGGGGGCGUAGGCGGCCGUGAAAGUCCGGUGUGAAAACUCACGGCUCAACCGUGGGACUGCGCUGGAAACUACACGGCUUGAGGACGGUAGAGGGAGACGGAACUGCUGGUGUAGGGGUGAAAUCCGUAGAUAUCAGCAGGAACGCCGGUGGAGAAGUCGGUCUCCUGGGCCGUUCCUGACGCUGAGGCCCGAAAGCUAGGGGAGCAAACCGG